RNAcentral lists this ribosomal RNA (457 nucleotides) under uncultured Methylophilaceae bacterium. Its description in RNAcentral is "bacterial SSU rRNA". It matches the Rfam family "Bacterial small subunit ribosomal RNA", at positions 346 to 795 of the family's 1533-position model. The record is from RNAcentral. Lineage: Bacteria; Pseudomonadati; Pseudomonadota; Betaproteobacteria; Nitrosomonadales; Methylophilaceae.
GGGCUGCAGUGGGGAAUUUUGGACAAUGGGCGCAAGCCUGAUCCAGCCAUGCCGCGUGAGUGAAGAAGGCCUUCGGGUUGUAAAGCUCUUUCGCAAGGAAAGAAAACUUACAUGUAAAUAAUGUGUGAGGUUGACGGUACCUUGAUAAGAAGCACCGGCUAACUACGUGCCAGCAGCCGCGGUAAUACGUAGGGUGCAAGCGUUAAUCGGAAUUACUGGGCGUAAAGCGAGCGCAGGCGGUUUUGUAAGUCAGAUGUGAAAGCCCCGGGCUCAACCUGGGAACUGCGUUUGAAACUACAAGGCUAGAGUAUGGGAGAGGGGGGUAGAAUUCCACGUGUAGCAGUGAAAUGCGUAGAGAUGUGGAGGAAUACCAAUGGCGAAGGCAGCCCCCUGGCCUAAUACUGACGCUCAGGCUCGAAAGCGUGGGGAGCAAACAGGAUUAGAUACCCUAGUAGUC